Molecule: long non-coding RNA, 2852 nt
Filed under: Callithrix jacchus (white-tufted-ear marmoset)
Lineage: Eukaryota; Metazoa; Chordata; Mammalia; Primates; Cebidae
Description: lncRNA (ENSCJAG00000075229.1)
Source: RNAcentral
AUGAGGAAACUGAGGCAUAGAGAGGAUAAAACUUGUCCAAGGUCAGCCCCAAGUAGCACAUGUGACCUUCUUGGGAAAUGUUCCUUAAAGCAAGAUGAUGACAUGUGCAGCACGAUCCUCCAACAUCAAGUACAGACCAGCCCGUCCAGGACAGCCAAUAGUUAUUACUGGUAUAAUGUAUCCCUUCACUAACUUCUCAACUUUUCUCCCCUUUGCUGUAUGCCUGUUGUAAAGACAAAGUAUCAAUUGCAAUUAAUCUUUUUCCCCUUUAGAAUUAGAACAGAGAGUUUUUAGCUAUACUUCUGUCUUAUCUCAUCCUGCUUCUCACUGUAUUACCUGCAUGGUCCCAUAGGACCUUUCCCCUAGAAGGACUUUUCAGAGACCUGUUAUCAUAGUUUGGUGACAGGCAGUACAGGCUUUACAUCAGAGGAACCUAUAUUCUAAUUUGGACUGAUCCUUCUGAGACAGAUGAGUUUUUCUGAGUCUCAGUUUCUCUUCAACAAAAUGCAGACAAUAAUGCCUACUGUACAAGGUCACGGUGAAGAUGAAAGGAAAUAAUGUACGAACUGCAUUGAGCACAGGACCCGGUACAAACAGGCAGUCAAAAAGAGGAGCGAGUAUUGUUAUUAACAUUUCUCUCCUUUUGCCAGUUAUUUUCCUGAUGACCUGAAUUUUUGGUGUGAGUCAACAGUACUGGGUGGUAGGAAGUAGGAAUGAAUGCUCCUAUUUGGUGUGUUGUUGAAUACGCUAAAAAUUUUCCAGGACUAGGCAACAAUUGGGUUAUGGUUAUCAUCAAUCAAAAUUCAGACCUCUGAUUUAAAAUAUAUAUAUAUAUAUUAUAUAUAUAUACAUAUAUAUAAUAUAUAUAUAUACACAUACGUAUACAUUACUUAUCAGAUAUCAUUUUGUCAUUGGACUAGGUAACACAGAAUCUAUCCCACAUUAUCAGAAUAAGGAAAGCAUGUUGAGUCUGACAAAAAAUAAAUGCUACUAUUGCACUGGGGACUUGGGAACCCCAAGACCAGCCAGUAACUUCAGUCACUGUAGAGUAUGUAAGACAGAUGUGAAGAUCCAACAAUAUAAUUUCCCUCUGUGCUAAGGCUGCCGAACCGUAGAAGACAGUUUUAACUAAAGAGAAAAUCUACCAAGGUCUCCUGCAGGGAGUUGUGUUAUGUGAAUGGAGUGAGUUUUAAUUUUAGUCUGCAGAUCUGAGCUCAGUAACACAGCACCACUGUUACCAGCAGGCCCAGGCUUUGUCGUGAUGGCUCUCCUUCUUUGUAACCCUAGUGGUUUGGCAUUAGAGUCUCGAGUUUCAGUGUAUUAAAUAUUUACCAACAACCUAUUGGCCAUAUGUCAUUGGAGUGUUUGUGGUGACAGACUCACUACUCGGCACCUUUUCAAGUAGAUUCUGUAGGAUCUGCAGGGUACUGCAGGCUCGCAGAUCCUUUUUAAUAACGAGGUCUUUUGUUCUUUUUUGUCCUCUUGUUCACUAAGCUGGUGUCAAUAUCAUACGCAGGGUUUUGAGGAAGAAAACUCAUUCAAUCCUUCUCCUUCUAUAUUCUUUCUUCCUGGGGUGCAAUGAACAAUAUCAGUAUCCCCUACUCAUUCCUUAUUUACCUGAUAGUAUUUUCUUUAGUGUAUGAAUGCAGAGGUAUUUUCCUUUAGAAAUAACAUUAUUCUGAGAGUUGAAUUCUGCUUAUGUUGCUUAAUGCCAAAGAGUUCUGGAAAACUCACCUGAAAUUAUGAACUUUGGAUUUAGGCUUGGAUUUUCAAAUGGAAAGCAAUUCCCUAAAUAAAAUCUAGCUGUAUAUGACACUAAACAUGCUUGAGAAAUGUUUCUAGAUAAAAUAUAUACUUGAUUGAAAUUGACUAAACUUGUGAAGCAUCAGAUAUGCUCCGUGAAGACAGCUGUUUCAGCUCAGAUCAACUCAACAGGUAUUUCCAGAGGACCCACUUUGUGUCUCUUCCUUUGCUAGGCAUGCAAUUAAAGAUCAAUUAGAUAAUUCCUGCCCAAGGUUUAUGUGUUGUCCAUCAUUGUUUUGAAAGUAGUAGUUCUCUUCCACACCUUGAUGUAUACAAAAUGGCAACAGCUUUUAUUUGUAAAGAUACUUAAAGCAAACACACUGUUAAAAGUGCAUAAAUUCAUAGCUUUACUUUAUCAGUUACAACAGUAGAUAAACAUUUGAGCAACGCUCUUAUUGUUGGUACAUGAGGUAAUAUUGACUCCUGAUUCUUCACAGAACCAGAACAUUGUGUCACUUUUCAUGGGUUUAGGGAAAAAUGAGAAUCUUAUUCUGAAUUUAAGUUUUGUAAAGACCUUGGUGUUCCAUAUUUCUCAACUGACACUCUUUUACUUGUAUUGUAUGAGAUGAAAAUAUGUUAUUAGUACAGAGUUUCAAUGUGUUCUGAGUUUGAGCAUCAAAGCAAGAAGAGUCAUAAAAAGUUUGGUGUGGGCCAGGUUUCAAUCAUGACCUCUGAAACUACUUUCCUAACAGUUUAGAACCAGAUAAACAAAUAGAUAAGUCUGGAUAUUCAAUAUUGUUAUGAAAUUGUGUUUUAAGGUAUCAAAAUGCUGAUUAUGCAAGUUACAAUAAAUAAUGCAUUAUAUGCCAGAUAAAAUAAUUUAUUGAUCAUAGCCGGUUACAACUAUUUACUGUUUUGAUGUGUCAGUAUAGUGUAUAUAAUAGGAGGUACAACUUUUGUAUAUGGCCCUGGAAUGGGCAAAGUUAGAAUAUGUUUCAAUGUUAAUAAAAUCAUCUGUGCUUGUUGUGUUAUAUGUAACAUAAUAUGUUCUAAUCAGUUUCAGUUUACUAUGGAAUCCAUAUGUAUGUUUAAGUGCUUAAGAAAGGAGA